UAGGGAAUAUUGGGCAAUGGAGGGAACUCUGACCCAGCCAUGCCGCGUGAGUGACGAAGGCCUUAGGGUUGUAAAGCUCUUUUGGCGGGGAAGAUAAUGACGGUACCCGCAGAAUAAGCUCCGGCUAACUUCGUGCCAGCAGCCGCGGUAAUACGAAGGGAGCUAGCGUUGUUCGGAAUCACUGGGCGUAAAGCGCACGUAGGUGGGCAGUUAAGUCAGGGGUGAAAGCCCGAGGCUCAACCUCGGAAUUGCCUCUGAUACUGGCUGUCUAGAGUUCGAGAGAGGUGAGUGGAAUUCCUAGUGUAGAGGUGAAAUUCGUAGAUAUUCGGAAGAACACCAGUGGCGAAGGCGACAUACUGGCUCAUUACUGACGCUGAGGUGCGAAAGCGUGGGGAGCAAACAGGAUUAGAUACCCCUGUAGUCCCUGAGCGGGCUGGCAAGGCG
This 444-nucleotide ribosomal RNA is filed under the name uncultured bacterium. RNAcentral describes it as "bacterial SSU rRNA". It matches the Rfam family "Bacterial small subunit ribosomal RNA", at positions 355 to 822 of the family's 1533-position model. The record is from RNAcentral.